AACGCGAAGAACCUUACCUACCCUUGACAUGUCCAGAAUCCUGCAGAGAUGCGGGAGUGCCCGAAAGGGAAUUGGAACACAGGUGCUGCAUGGCUGUCGUCAGCUCGUGUCGUGAGAUGUUGGGUUAAGUCCCGCAACGAGCGCAACCCUUAUCAUUAGUUGCUACGCAAGGGCACUCUAAUGAGACUGCCGGUGACAAACCGGAGGAAGGUGGGGAUGACGUCAAGUCCUCAUGGCCCUUAUGGGUAGGGCUUCACAUGUA
RNAcentral lists this ribosomal RNA (262 nucleotides) under uncultured bacterium. Its description in RNAcentral is "partial 16S ribosomal RNA". It matches the Rfam family "Bacterial small subunit ribosomal RNA", at positions 958 to 1223 of the family's 1533-position model. The record is from RNAcentral.